Molecule: ribosomal RNA, 471 nt
Filed under: uncultured bacterium
Lineage: Bacteria
Description: bacterial SSU rRNA
Rfam family: Bacterial small subunit ribosomal RNA
Source: RNAcentral
CGGCGUGCUUAACACAUGCAAGUCGAACGAGGUAGUAAGUACGGGAAGUUUUCGGACGGAAGACCUUGUACUGAGUGGCGGACGGGUGAGUAACGCGUGGGAAACCUGCCCUGUUCCGGGGGAUACCAGUUGGAAACGACUGUUAAUACCGCAUAAGCGCACAGUACCGCAUGGUGCAGUGUGAAAAACUCCGGUGGAACAGGAUGGUCCCGCGUCUGAUUAGGCAGUUGGCAGGGUAACGGCCUACCAAACCGACGAUCAGUAGCCGGCCUGAGAGGGUGAACGGCCACAUUGGGACUGAGACACGGCCCAAACUCCUACGGGAGGCAGCAGUGGGGAAUAUUGCACAAUGGGGGAAACCCUGAUGCAGCGACGCCGCGUGAGUGAAGAAGUAUUUCGGUAUGUAAAGCUCUAUCAGCAGGGAAGAAGAUGACGGUACCUGCAGAAGCAGCCCCGGCUAACCUACGUGCC